RNAcentral lists this transfer RNA (72 nucleotides) under Vinciguerria nimbaria (oceanic lightfish). RNAcentral describes it as "tRNA-Thr". It matches the Rfam family "tRNA". From Rfam's summary of the family: Transfer RNA (tRNA) molecules are approximately 80 nucleotides in length. Their secondary structure includes four short double-helical elements and three loops (D, anti-codon, and T loops). Further hydrogen bonds mediate the characteristic L-shaped molecular structure. tRNAs have two regions of fundamental functional importance: the anti-codon, which is responsible for specific mRNA codon recognition, and the 3' end, to which the tRNAs corresponding amino acid is attached (by aminoacyl-tRNA synthetases). tRNAs cope with the degeneracy of the genetic code in two manners: having more than one tRNA (with a specific anti-codon) for a particular amino acid; and 'wobble' base-pairing, i.e. permitting non-standard base-pairing at the 3rd anti-codon position. Lineage: Eukaryota; Metazoa; Chordata; Actinopteri; Stomiiformes; Phosichthyidae. The record is from RNAcentral.
GCCUUGGUAGCUCAACGUAAGAGCGUCGGUUUUGUAAUCCGAAGACUGAAGGUUAAAAUCCCUCCCAUGGCU